This 366-nucleotide transfer-messenger RNA is filed under the name Pirellulimonas nuda. Its description in RNAcentral is "Planctomycetes bacterium Pla175 transfer-messenger RNA, SsrA". It matches the Rfam family "transfer-messenger RNA". From Rfam's summary of the family: Bacterial tmRNA, also known as 10Sa RNA or SsrA, is named for its dual tRNA and mRNA-like properties. Its role is to liberate the mRNA from a stalled ribosome. Lineage: Bacteria; Pseudomonadati; Planctomycetota; Planctomycetia; Pirellulales; Lacipirellulaceae. The record is from RNAcentral.
GGGGGCGAACUGGGCUCGACCGGGUGUGGAAAGCGUAAGUGGCGUGUCGUGGUUGAUCGGUGGCCCACGUAAAAAGCCGAUUAAAUCCUUCAAUUGCCGAAGGUAAUUUCGCUUUGGCUGCCUAGUUUACUAGGGAGUCCGAGUCGAGGGCUGUAGCCGGAAUGGCCCAAAGACUCGUAUCACCCCAAUCCGGACCGCCUCGGGUCACUGCAGAGCACGCCCGCGGUUAAAAAAAGUUCUCAGCUAGCGACCGGGUAGCCCUGCCAGCGAGGCGCCCCGGCCGCGAAAUCAAAUCUCGCUGGACAUACACGUAGAAGCUUGCGUGGCCCCAUCGCGGGACGCGGGUUCGAUUCCCGCCGCCUCCAC